This 330-nucleotide long non-coding RNA is filed under the name Vigna radiata. RNAcentral describes it as "long non-coding RNA (VRAD_LNC003125)". Lineage: Eukaryota; Viridiplantae; Streptophyta; Magnoliopsida; Fabales; Fabaceae. The record is from RNAcentral.
CUCGCACUCACUCAGAAUUAUAGUUAUUUAGCACAGACAUCACGUAGAUUGCAUGGCCAUUACCAUGNAUAAUACAUCCAUGUCAUAGGGUAGAGAGAGUUUAAUCUGUUCAAUGGGUAACAGAUUUUGCACUCUAUUGAAAAGCAAUUGAGUUGUAGAUGUUGAUUGACCAAUUGUGUUCUGAAUUUGAUUGGAAAGUACACUUUGUACACUCAUAACCAUAAGAGUACAUCUCAUUUUGAAGAAGAUACCUUGUUCCCCACCCUUUCACCAAAAUGCCCUCUUGGAAGAAGACCAUGACAGCACCCAUCAAUAUCUCUGUUAUUCUUU